RNAcentral lists this ribosomal RNA (526 nucleotides) under uncultured bacterium. RNAcentral describes it as "partial 16S ribosomal RNA". It matches the Rfam family "Bacterial small subunit ribosomal RNA", at positions 355 to 898 of the family's 1533-position model. The record is from RNAcentral.
UGGGGAAUAUUGGACAAUGGGGGCAACCCUGAUCCAGCAAUGCCGCGUGUGUGAAGAAGGUCUUCGGAUUGUAAAGCACUUUCGACGGGGACGAUGAUGACGGUACCCGUAGAAGAAGCCCCGGCUAACUUCGUGCCAGCAGCCGCGGUAAUACGAAGGGGGCUAGCGUUGCUCGGAAUGACUGGGCGUAAAGGGCGUGUAGGCGGUUUACACAGUCAGAUGUGAAAUCCCCGGGCUUAACCUGGGAGCUGCAUUUGAUACGUGUAGACUAGAGUGUGAGAGAGGGUUGUGGAAUUCCCAGUGUAGAGGUGAAAUUCGUAGAUAUUGGGAAGAACACCGGUGGCGAAGGCGGCAACCUGGCUCAUGACUGACGCUGAGGCGCGAAAGCGUGGGGAGCAAACAGGAUUAGAUACCCUGGUAGUCCACGCUGUAAACGAUGUGUGCUAGAUGUCGGGUAACUUUGUUAUUCAGUGUCGCAGUUAACGCGUUAAGCACACCGCCUGGGGAGUACGGCCGCAAGGUUGAA